Molecule: ribosomal RNA, 253 nt
Filed under: uncultured bacterium
Lineage: Bacteria
Description: partial 16S ribosomal RNA
Rfam family: Bacterial small subunit ribosomal RNA
Source: RNAcentral
GACAGAGGCCUCGAGCGUUAGGCGGAAUCACUGGGCUUAAAGCGUGUGUAGGCGGAUCGUUAAGUGCCUUGUGAAAUCCCACGGCUUAACUGUGGAACGGCUGGGCAUACUGGCGGUCUUGAGCCAUCCAGGGGCGACUGGAACAAACGGUGGAGCGGUGAAAUGCGUAGAUAUCGUUUGGAACGCCAAUGGUGAAAACAGGUCGCUGGGGAUGAGCUGACGCUGAGGAGCGAAAGCGUGGGGAUCAAACAGG